RNAcentral lists this ribosomal RNA (409 nucleotides) under uncultured bacterium. RNAcentral describes it as "bacterial SSU rRNA". It matches the Rfam family "Bacterial small subunit ribosomal RNA", at positions 30 to 451 of the family's 1533-position model. The record is from RNAcentral.
AUUGAACGCUGGCGGCAGGCUUAACACAUGCAAGUCGAGCGGAGACUUCGGUCUUAGCGGCGAACGGGUGAGUAAUACCUAGGAAUCUGCCUAUUAGUGGGGGAUAACGAAUCGAAAGGUUCGCUAAUACCGCAUACGUCCUACGGGAGAAAGGGGGGAGUCUUCGGACCUCUCGCUAAUAGAUGAGCCUAGGCCGGAUUAGCUAGUUGGUAGGGUAAAGGCCUACCAAGGCGACGAUCUGUAGCUGGUCUGAGAGGAUGGCCAGCCACACUGGAACUGAGACACGGUCCAGACUCCUACGGGAGGCAGCAGUGGGGAAUAUUGGACAAUGGGGGCAACCCUGAUCCAGCCAUGCCGCGUGUGUGAAGAAGGCCUUCGGUUGUAAGACGACUUAAGUCGAGGAGGAAGG